Long non-coding RNA from Malaclemys terrapin pileata, 1813 nucleotides. RefSeq lists it as uncharacterized. Lineage: Eukaryota; Metazoa; Chordata; Testudines; Emydidae. The record is from RefSeq and is a predicted model, not a curated record. The transcript has 3 exons.
UGUGCGUCUCCGAGGCCCUCUGGGUCUCUUGGCCUCGUGCUGUCUUCACAGCCUGCUGCCAACGACCGCCCUGUAAUCAGGGAUCUGGUCUUUGCCCUCUAGUCUCUUGGCACUUGGCCAAAUGCAGCCACUGCCCUGAAUGAGCACCCUGUAAACAGGGUACAGGUCUCAUCUGCUACUAUUUAUGGCACCCCCAUGACACUGUGUCCAGAGUUCCGGCCCUUCAAACAGCGCUUCCAACUUGCCUGGAAUUCUGCAGCCAAGUCUCCUGCUUUCUACUCACUUUUUGGACUCUUGGAGAUCUGACAUGCUACUGGUGACAUCAUGAAGCACAAGUGGAGAAGAAGGAAGUGUCAGGAAUGCCACACACAGAGGAGAAAAGAAGAUGGAGGAAAAGGAAAGGAACUCUGGGCACAGUAACCAACCUCAAAUCAGGCCUCAGGUCAUGUAAUUAGACUGUAGGGGAAUCUCGAGCCUCUUAAUACCUUGAGCAGCGUGACCGCCCUGUAAGCUGGGUCCCGGUCUGUGCUAUUGUGUCGUUUUGACAUUCUGCUCCGAUAUCUGGCUAUUGAGGGUGACUGCCCUGUAAUCAGGGUGUAAGUCACUUCCCUCUGUCUUUGGAGGGGCAUUGAGCUUUUUGUUAAACUGAGCAAUGUGACCGCCCUGUAUCUGGGGUCCGGGUCUCUGCCCUCUUGCUCAUUUGGCUUUACGCCGUGCUCUGCCCCAUUAGUCAGCGUGACAACCCUGUAAUUAGGGUCUAUGUCACAAGCCUCUCUAGGAUGGGACAUAUUGAGCUCUUUGGUACUUUGACAGCUUGACCUUCCUGUAAUUCAGGUUAUGGUCUCCCCUAUUUGGCUAAUGCCAGCGACCACCCUGUAGUCAGGGUACAGGUUGCACCUCGCUUUUGAAAUCUGGGGGAUUAGAAUCAUGACCAUAACAUGGGCAGCUUGACCUCCCUGUAACUAGGGUUUGCGUCUCCGAGGCCCUUUGGGUCUCCGUUAUAGAGUUGGUGAAUGUGACUGCCCUGUAAUCAGGGUGCAAGUCACCUCCCCCUGUCUUUGGAGGGGCAUUGAGCUCUUUGUUCAACUGAGCAAUGUGACCGCCCUGUAACUGGGGUCUGGGUCUCUGCCCUCUUGCUCAUUUGGCUUUACGCCGUGCUCUGCCCCAUUAGUCAGUGUGACAACCCUGUAAUUAGGGUCCAUGUCACAAGCCUCUCUACCAUGGGACAUAUUGAGCUCUUUGGUACUUUGACAGCUUGACCUUCCUGUAAUUCAGGUUAUGGUCUCUCCUCUUUGGCUAAUGCCAGCGACCACCCUGUAAUCAGGGUACAGGUUGCAUCUCGCUUUUGAAAUCUGGGGGAUUAGAAUCAUGACCAUAACAUGGGCAGCUUGACCUCCCUGUAACUAGGGUGUGCGUCUCCGAGGCCCUCUGGGUCUCUUGGCCUCGUGCUGUCUUCACAGCCUGCUGCCAACGACCGCCCUGUAAUCAGGGAUCUGGUCUUUGCCCUCUAGUCUCUUGGCACUUGGCCAAAUGCAGCCACUGCCCUGAAUGAGCACCCUGUAAACAGGGUACAGGUCUCAUCUGCUACUAUUUAUGGCACCCCCAUGACACUGUGUCCAGAGUUCCGGCCCUUCAAACAGCGCUUCCAACUUGCCUGGAAUUCUGCAGCCAAGUCUCCUGCUUUCUACUCACUUUUUGGACUCUUGGAGAUCUGACAUGCUACUGGUGACAUCAUGAAGCACAAGUGGAGAAGAAGGAAGUGUCAGGAAUGCCACACACAGAGGAGAAAAGAAGAUGGAGGAAAAGGAAAGGA